GAUGAACGCUGGCGGCGUGCCUAAUACAUGCAAGUCGAGCGAACAGACGAGGAGCUUGCUCCUCUGACGUUAGCGGCGGACGGGUGAGUAACACGUGGAUAACCUACCUAUAAGACUGGGAUAACUUCGGGAAACCGGAGCUAAUACCGGAUAAUAUAUUGAACCGCAUGGUUCAAUAGUGAAAGACGGUUUUGCUGUCACUUAUAGAUGGAUCCGCGCCGCAUUAGCUAGUUGGUAAGGUAACGGCUUACCAAGGCAACGAUGCGUAGCCGACCUGAGAGGGUGAUCGGCCACACUGGAACUGAGACACGGUCCAGACUCCUACGGGAGGCAGCAGUAGGGAAUCUUGCGCAAUGGGCGAAAGCCUGACGGAGCAACGCCGCGUGAGUGAUGAAGGUCUGCGGAUCGGAAAACGCUGUUAGUAGGGAAGAACAAAUGUGUAAGUAACUAUGCACGUCUUGACGGUACCUAAGCAGAAAGCCACGGCUAACUACGUG
RNAcentral lists this ribosomal RNA (497 nucleotides) under uncultured bacterium. RNAcentral describes it as "partial 16S ribosomal RNA". It matches the Rfam family "Bacterial small subunit ribosomal RNA", at positions 28 to 507 of the family's 1533-position model. The record is from RNAcentral.